GCGCCGGUGGUGUAAAGGCGUAGAGCAUUCCCGCCCGGCUAGCAGGAGGUGCGGGUUCGAGUCCCGCUUGGCGCU
Molecule: non-coding RNA, 75 nt
Organism: Heligmosomoides polygyrus
Lineage: Eukaryota; Metazoa; Nematoda; Chromadorea; Rhabditida; Heligmosomidae
Source: Rfam